UGCCCCAGCCCCAGCCCGAAACCCAGCGCCCACCACGCUGCCACGGUGUUUAUAUUGGUUUGCCAGCACGUGGGCAAGUGUUGGCAAAAAAAGAUUGGCACACCCCUCUGCAAACUUAAACGCAACUUGAGAAAAAAAAUUCCCCCAGGACUCCGUCAAAUAGUGAUUUUAUCUGCCCUUUAUCUUGCACAGACAAGUUUCUUGUAAUUUUUCAGUUGCAAAUAACCCCGUGAUGAAUAUUCUAACUUCUCUUGCGGUUUUUUUCUCUGCGUUCUUUGAGGGUUUGGGUUUUUGUUUGUUUUUGUUGUUUUUUUUUUAAAGAAAUUCACUGAAGUGAGAAUUACUGGGUCAAAGGAUAUAAACUGCCAAACUAACCUCCAGAAAAAAACAAUUUACAUUGUCAUUGGCAGUGGCUUAGAGUACACUGCUCAUGAAUUCUGGACGUAAGUGGAUAUUUAAUGUUUGCUAAUGUAAUUUUGUUGUUUUGAUACAUAUCCUUGGACAGUUUUCCUGUGCCAGUGGCCAUUUAUACUUUUCUAUUGUUUUUUUCUUAUUGUAGCACUUUAUGAAUACUAACACUUUGCCAUAUAUGUUGUUCUAACACUUUUCAGAGGCUAAACUCAAACUGGAUUUUUAAUAAUGGGAACAUACUUUAAUACUUAUCACAUGGGAAAUUCCAUACUUAGCACAUGAAGAUGCAGUGAAGGGUAGACAGCUGUCUUCUCCAGACAUUUGCUACCUGAUAUAUGUCUUUUUUUUUUUUUUUUCCAUGUUAAUCCAAAUUCAGUGUUAAGCUCCUGCAAGACAGGAACUCUGUCUACCCUUUUGUGUGUUUCAAAGGAGAGGUAUUCUCUGAUGCCUGCAGGCCAAAGCCAAGGAAUGGUUUUUUAGCACUCUCCCUCCAACACCUCCUCUCCUUCACUCCUAAUGGCAAAUAUGUUUCUUUGAUAUGCUUAGUUGACUAUAUUGAGUUGAUUUUCUCAAGUUCAUGUGAGUGUAAAUAAAAAUAAUUUGAGAAAAUGACUUUUUAUUGAUCUUUAACAUGAGUUGUAUGUAAAAAUCGUGUUUCCGAAGUAAACUUUAAAGCCCUGUAGAUAACCUCUUCUGCAACUAGAAUGUUGUUCCUAACCCCCUCCUAUGUAGGAAUUCUGUAUCCUCUGUUGCUGUCCCUGCAAACUCACAUCCCCUCCCUCUUCACUCUUCCACAACGCCUUGCUUUAUUCCCUUGACAUACUUAUAUCUAUCUCAAAAUAUGUUGAUUCUUUGUUUACUACUAUCCUCUUCUAGAAAAUGAGCUCUCUGAGUGUAGGGACCUUUUCUAUUUUGUUUAUUGCAGUGUUCUAGCAUGGCUUGGGCCUUCAAUAUCUUCUGAAUGAUAACAGAACCCUUAUUUAAAUAUUUGUUGAUUGGUUUAUUUUUCUAUCUCAGUAUAAAUUCAACUGCUACAGAAGUCUCCCAGGUACCCCAGUAUAGCCUGUUCUUGGAGGUAAACUGUCCCUUAACUUUUUUUUUUUUUUUUCUUCCAACUCUUAACUAUGCCACCUGUCUGCUUCUCUAAACUGGGAGGCCCUUAAAGUAGGCUGGAGCAAAACGGCCUGGCUUCUGAACGGGAAGGGAAGAGUUCUUGGUACACAGCCCCAGUACUUCGAAUACUUGGCACCCAAGCCCACCCACAGAAUGGGAGAGCCCAUGGUUGGCAGACAGAGCACAAUGGAAGGUGACGGCCGGAGAACACAGACUUGCAGAAGAGCCUGCAGUAGCCCAGUCGUCCUGUGGUCCAGAGCAUGAAGCUAGCAUCAGAUGGCUGUAGUUCUGCCUCUUUCCUCAGCUCUAGUCAGUCAGCACUCUCUUGCCUCCGAUGUACGGCCGUCCAUAGCUCAUGCUCCAGAAGGGGAAAUGUCACACUGGAAUAUACAGUGCAAAUAAAACUUCUAUUUUCUGAA
Long non-coding RNA from Mustela lutreola (European mink), 1943 nucleotides. RefSeq lists it as uncharacterized. The record is from RefSeq and is a predicted model, not a curated record. NCBI's taxonomy places the organism in Eukaryota, Metazoa, Chordata, Mammalia, Carnivora, Mustelidae. The transcript is spliced from 2 exons.